CGGACGGGUGAGUAACGCGUGGGUAACCUUCCUUGUACUGGGGGACAACAGUUAGAAAUGACUGCUAAUACCGCAUAAGCGCACAGUAUCGCAUGAUACAGUGUGAAAAACUCCGGUGGUACAAGAUGGACCCGCGUCUGAUUAGCUAGUUGGUAAGGUAACGGCUUACCAAGGCGACGAUCAGUAGCCGACCUGAGAGGGUGACCGGCCACAUUGGGACUGAGACACGGUCCAG
This 235-nucleotide ribosomal RNA is filed under the name uncultured bacterium. RNAcentral describes it as "partial 16S ribosomal RNA". It matches the Rfam family "Bacterial small subunit ribosomal RNA", at positions 99 to 334 of the family's 1533-position model. The record is from RNAcentral.